AAAUUGAAGAGUUUGAUCAUGGCUCAGAUUGAACGCUGGCGGCAGGCCUAACACAUGCAAGUCGAACGGUAACAGGAARCAGCUUGCUGYUUYGCUGACGAGUGGCGGACGGGUGAGUAAUGUCUGGGAAACUGCCUGAUGGAGGGGGAUAACUACUGGAAACGGUAGCUAAUACCGCAUAACGUCGCAAGACCAAAGAGGGGGACCUUCGGGCCUCUUGCCAUCGGAUGUGCCCAGAUGGGAUUAGCUAGUAGGUGGGGUAAMGGCUCACCUAGGCGACGAUCCCUAGCUGGUCUGAGAGGAUGA
This 306-nucleotide ribosomal RNA is filed under the name Escherichia coli. RNAcentral describes it as "partial 16S ribosomal RNA". It matches the Rfam family "Bacterial small subunit ribosomal RNA", at positions 1 to 303 of the family's 1533-position model. Lineage: Bacteria; Pseudomonadati; Pseudomonadota; Gammaproteobacteria; Enterobacterales; Enterobacteriaceae. The record is from RNAcentral.